GGGCGCGUAGCUCAGCUGGGAGAGCACCUCGCUUACACCGAGGGGGUCACAGGUUCAAGUCCUGUCGCGCCCACCA
RNAcentral lists this transfer RNA (76 nucleotides) under Deltaproteobacteria bacterium. RNAcentral describes it as "tRNA-Val". It matches the Rfam family "tRNA". From Rfam's summary of the family: Transfer RNA (tRNA) molecules are approximately 80 nucleotides in length. The record is from RNAcentral. Lineage: Bacteria; Pseudomonadati; Myxococcota; Myxococcia.